RNAcentral lists this ribosomal RNA (155 nucleotides) under uncultured bacterium. RNAcentral describes it as "partial 16S rRNA". It matches the Rfam family "Bacterial small subunit ribosomal RNA", at positions 355 to 507 of the family's 1533-position model. The record is from RNAcentral.
UAAGGAAUAUUGGUCAAUGGGCGAAAGCCUGAACCAGCCAUCCCGCGUGCAGGAUGACUGCCCUAUGGGUUGUAAACUGCUUUAGACUGAGAAGAAACCCCUCAAUGCGUUGGGGGCUGACGGUAUCAGUAGAAUAAGCACCGGCUAACUCCGUG